This 429-nucleotide ribosomal RNA is filed under the name Bacteroidota bacterium. RNAcentral describes it as "Bacteroidetes bacterium partial 16S ribosomal RNA". It matches the Rfam family "Bacterial small subunit ribosomal RNA", at positions 355 to 776 of the family's 1533-position model. Lineage: Bacteria; Pseudomonadati; Bacteroidota. The record is from RNAcentral.
UAGGGAAUCUUCGGCAAUGGGGGGAACCCUGACCGAGCAACGCCGCGUGAGUGAAGAAGGUUUUCGGAUCGUAUAGCUCUGUUGUUAAGGAAGAACGAGUGUGAGAAUGGAAAGUUCAUACUGUGACGGUACUUAACCAGAAAGGGACGGCUAACUACGUGCCAGCAGCCGCGGUAAUACGUAGGUCCCGAGCGUUGUCCGGAUUUAUUGGGCGUAAAGCGAGCGCAGGCGGUUAGAUAAGUCUGAAGUUAAAGGCAGUGGCUCAACCAUUGUAGGCUUUGGAAACUGUUUAACUUGAGUGCAGAAGGGGAGAGUGGAAUUCCAUGUGUAGCGGUGAAAUGCGUAGAUAUAUGGAGGAACACCGGUGGCGAAAGCGGCUCUCUGGUCUGUAACUGACGCUGAGGCUCGAAAGCGUGGGGAGCGAACAGG